GAUGAACGCUGGCGGCGUGCCUAAUACAUGCAAGUCGAGCGAACGGACGAGAAGCUUGCUUCUCUGAUGUUAGCGGCGGACGGGUGAGUAACACGUGGAUAACCUACCUAUAAGACUGGGAUAACUUCGGGACACCGGAGCUAAUACCGGAUGAUAUUUUGAACCGCAUGGUUCAAAAGUGAAAGACGGUCUUGCUGUCACUUAUAGAUGGAUCCGCGCUGCAUUAGCUAGUUGGUAAGGUAACGGCUUACCAAGGCAACGAUGCAUAGCCGACCUGAGAGGGUGAUCGGCCACACUGGAACUGAGACACGGUCCAGACUCCUACGGGAGGCAGCAGUAGGGAAUCUUACGCAAUGGGCGAAAGCCUGACGGAGCAACGGCGCGUGAGUGAUGAAGGUCUUCGGAUCGUAAAACUCUGUUAUUAGGGAAGAACAUAUGUGUAAGUAACUGUGCACAUAUUGACGGUACCUAAUCAGAAAGCCACGGCUAACUACGUG
RNAcentral lists this ribosomal RNA (497 nucleotides) under uncultured bacterium. RNAcentral describes it as "partial 16S ribosomal RNA". It matches the Rfam family "Bacterial small subunit ribosomal RNA", at positions 28 to 507 of the family's 1533-position model. The record is from RNAcentral.